UACGAAGGGGGCUAGCGUUGCUCGGAGUCACUGGGCGUAAAGCGCACGUAGGCGGAUUGCUAAGUCAGGGGUGAAAUCCUGGAGCUCAACUCCAGAACUGCCUUUGAUACUGGUGAUCUUGAGUCCGGGAGAGGUGAGUGGAACUGCGAGUGUAGAGGUGAAAUUCGUAGAUAUUCGCAAGAACACCAGUGGCGAAGGCGGCUCACUGGCCCGGAACUGACGCUGAGGUGCGAAAGCGUGGGGAGCAAACAGG
RNAcentral lists this ribosomal RNA (253 nucleotides) under uncultured bacterium. RNAcentral describes it as "partial 16S ribosomal RNA". It matches the Rfam family "Bacterial small subunit ribosomal RNA", at positions 524 to 776 of the family's 1533-position model. The record is from RNAcentral.